Acanthosepion pharaonis is the source of this 112-nucleotide non-coding RNA. NCBI's taxonomy places the organism in Eukaryota, Metazoa, Mollusca, Cephalopoda, Sepiida, Sepiidae. The record is from the annotation of a GenBank genome assembly.
UUAUGGCCAUAUCACAUUGAAACAUUGGUUCUCAUAUGAUCACUGUAGUUAAGCAACAUCAAACCUGAUCAGUACCUAGAUGGAUGACCACUUGGAAUAUCAGGUGCUGGAA